Molecule: ribosomal RNA, 376 nt
Filed under: uncultured bacterium
Lineage: Bacteria
Description: bacterial SSU rRNA
Rfam family: Bacterial small subunit ribosomal RNA
Source: RNAcentral
GACGUAGGGGGCGAGCGUUGUCCGGAAUUACUGGGCGUAAAGAGCACGUAGGCGGAUGCUUAAGUCAGGUGUGAAAGACCGCAGCUUAACUGCGGGGUUGCACAUGAAACUGGGUAUCUUGAGGGCAGGAGAGGUCAGUAGAAUUCCUGGUGUAGCGGUGAAAUGCGUAGAAAUCAGGAGGAAUACCAGUGGCGAAGGCGGCUGACUGGACUGACCCUGACGCUGAGGUGCGAAAGCGUGGGUAGCAAACAGGAUUAGAUACCCUGGUAGUCCACGCUGUAAACGAUGGAUACUAGGUGUAGGAGGUAUCGACCCCUUCUGUGCCGCAGCUAACGCAAUAAGUAUCCCGCCUGGGGAGUACGGUCGCAAGGCUGAA